CAGCGCCACGAGUGGGGAUCCUGUUUAUUUGGCCUAAAGCGUCCGUAGCUGGUUUAGUAAAUCUCUUGUGAAAUCGUUGGGCUUAACCCAGCGGCGUGCAGGAGAGACUGCUAAACUAGGGACUGGGAGGAGUAAGAGGUAUGCUGGGGGGAGCGGUAAAAUGCUAUAAUCCUCAGUAGACCACCUAUGGCGAAGGCAUCUUACUAGAACAGGUCCGACAGUGAGGGACGAAAGCCAGGGGAACAAACCGGAUUAGAUACCCGAGUAGUCC
Molecule: ribosomal RNA, 271 nt
Filed under: uncultured archaeon
Lineage: Archaea
Description: partial 16S ribosomal RNA
Rfam family: Archaeal small subunit ribosomal RNA
Source: RNAcentral